GGCAGGGCUGUUUUUUGUUCUUGUUUCUCUUUUUAUUUUAAUAAACAGUAUGCCAAAUUACAGGGUUAUUUUGUAAACAAUCAUACCAAAGAAGUAUAUUGUGAGGGGUUAUUUUCUCCAAGAGGCAGGCAGUGUGUGUCCCUGGAAUUUCAGAAGUGGCAGGAUGUUUGAAGCUUGUAAAGUCCCAGUGUCAACUGAAGGACAAGAGACAACCUAAGGGAGACGGGUCCCAGACGGGAAUAGAUGGUGUCCAGAAAGAGAAUGGUUGGGAAAUGAUUCUGAAGGCAGGGGCUAUCUUUCUGUUUGUGGUGUUGGCCUGGUGUUAUGUUCUAAACCCCUUGGUGCCAGUGUGUCUGGAGACUUCUAAAUUAUCUAAUCACAAGUUUCAAGAAGAUGGUUGCAACACUGAUAUAAGUAUGUGAUGUAUUUAAUAAUGUAUUUUGGACUUUGAUUGUGUUAUAUGUUAAAUUAAAGCUUCACGUCAGUUACCUGUAACUUUUCUUAACAUUUACCCAGUAUAUAAUUUAUUCUCUUUAUAGGCAUUUGAUCUAACAGAGCAAAGAUACGUAGCUGUGAAAAUUCACCAGUUAAAUAAAAACUGGAGAGAUGAGAAAAAGGAGAAUUACCACAAGCAUGCAUGUAGGGAAUACCGGAUUCAUAAAGAACUGGAUCAUCCCAGAAUAGUUAAGCUGUAUGAUUACUUUUCACUGGAUACUGACUCAUUUCCUAUUCUGGACUCUCAUAUGCAUGGAAUCAUAUAGUUUUGUACAGUAUUAGAAUACUGUGAGGGAAAUGAUCUGGACUUCUACCUGAAACAGCACAAAUUAAUGUCGGAGAAAGAGGCCCGGUCCAUUAUCAUGCAGAUUGUGAAUGCUUU
This 877-nucleotide small RNA is filed under the name Pongo abelii (Sumatran orangutan). RNAcentral's name for it is "retained intron". The record is from RNAcentral. Lineage: Eukaryota; Metazoa; Chordata; Mammalia; Primates; Hominidae.